CAACCCUCAAGCCCUGCUUGGUGUUGGGGCACUGCUCUCGCCCGAGAGCAGGCCCUGAAAUCUAGUGGCGAGCUCGCCAGGACCCCGAGCGCAGUAGUUAAACCCUCGCUCUGGAAGGCCCUGGCGGUGCCCUGCCGUUAAACCCCCAACUCUUGAAA
This 158-nucleotide unclassified non-coding RNA is filed under the name uncultured Dothideomycetes. Its description in RNAcentral is "sequence contains ITS2". The record is from RNAcentral. Lineage: Eukaryota; Fungi; Ascomycota; Dothideomycetes.